Molecule: transfer RNA, 95 nt
Filed under: Mycobacterium intracellulare subsp. chimaera
Lineage: Bacteria; Bacillati; Actinomycetota; Actinomycetes; Mycobacteriales; Mycobacteriaceae
Description: Mycobacterium chimaera tRNA-Gly
Source: RNAcentral
CGGCCGGCCUACGGCGCGGCGGAGCUGACGUCCGGCCUCGACGUCGACGUCGUGGACCUGCUGGCGGUCGACAGCUCGGAGCUGACGCUGGCCGA